AUAAAUAAUCCUUAUGGAUUUUUAAUCCAUAUCCGCCUUUGUGAACUUGUAAACUGUUUGCUCCCUUUUGGCUCAUCACAAAAACGGUAAGGGGUUUCGCUGGAGGUUGUCGCUUAACGGCGAGGACCAAAGGUUUAAUCUUUUGCUGGGUGCGUCGGAGGGGUAGCCUUUUUAUACACCUCUUGUCUUUAAUACCUUGACUGAAAUCCUCUUCUUUGUUUGGCUUAACCGCUAAGCAGGAAGUAAAAAACAAAUUAAAAA
This 261-nucleotide unclassified non-coding RNA is filed under the name soil metagenome. Its description in RNAcentral is "partial internal transcribed spacer 1". The record is from RNAcentral.